This 45-nucleotide non-coding RNA is filed under the name Schistosoma haematobium. Lineage: Eukaryota; Metazoa; Platyhelminthes; Trematoda; Strigeidida; Schistosomatidae. The record is from RNAcentral.
AUCCAGCUGGUGAGUCCCAGAUAGGACGAAACACGCGUCCUGGAU